RNAcentral lists this non-coding RNA (102 nucleotides) under Desulfitobacterium hafniense. RNAcentral's name for it is "Guanine sequence". It matches the Rfam family "Purine riboswitch aptamer". From Rfam's summary of the family: Riboswitches are metabolite binding domains within certain messenger RNAs that serve as precision sensors for their corresponding targets. Allosteric rearrangement of mRNA structure is mediated by ligand binding, and this results in modulation of gene expression. Lineage: Bacteria; Bacillati; Bacillota; Clostridia; Eubacteriales; Desulfitobacteriaceae. RNAcentral also lists the same sequence under 1 other name. The record is from RNAcentral.
AAAAAAUUUAAAUAGGGCGUUCAUAUAAUCGCGGAGAUAGGGUCCGCAAGUUUCUACCGGGCUGCCGUAAAUGGCCUGACUAUGAGCGAAACUGUGCCCAGG